GGGAAAUUGUGUGAAGUGUUCUUGCCUCCACCAGUAGUCUACAACUGGAGUGGGCGGAGUAACUGUUAUCAUUUAUAUUGCACAUUUAAUUGCAACGUUGUUGCACAGUUACAUUAAACCAUACAUUUAUAAAAACAUUAGCAGGUGUUCAAAAGGCCCUGUCUAUGACAUCACUUGCUGCUGCAGCUUGACACAGGUCAGAGUAUUUUGGCAGUUGCCAUCUUCAAACGGUCGUAUCAUAAAAACUAUAAUUCCUACAGUGAAGAGCUUUAUAUUGUGAGAAUCACAAGACCCAGACCUACAUUUUGAUGCAUAGUAUGUCUCUGAAGUAUUAAAAUUGAAG
This 343-nucleotide long non-coding RNA is filed under the name Pelobates cultripes (western spadefoot toad). Lineage: Eukaryota; Metazoa; Chordata; Amphibia; Anura; Pelobatidae. The record is from RNAcentral.